AAGUCGUAACAAGGUUUCCGUAGGUGAACCUGCGGAAGGAUCAUUAAAGAAUCGCCCCGUUUUUUGAAAUGGGUUCUAUUCCCAAACCGUGUAUACAUACCUUUGUUGCUUUGGCAGGCCGCCGUUUAGGCGUUGGCUCCGGCUGACUGCGCCUGCCAGAGGACCCAAACUCGUUUGUUUAGUGAUGUCUGAGUACUAUAUAAUAGUUAAAACUUUCAACAACGGAUCUCUUGGUUCUG
This 239-nucleotide unclassified non-coding RNA is filed under the name Ascomycota sp. RNAcentral's name for it is "partial contains small subunit ribosomal RNA, internal transcribed spacer 1, and 5.8S ribosomal RNA". The stretch from base 1 to 46 matches the Rfam family "Eukaryotic small subunit ribosomal RNA", at positions 1786 to 1831 of the family's 1831-position model. Lineage: Eukaryota; Fungi; Ascomycota. The record is from RNAcentral.